RNAcentral lists this ribosomal RNA (255 nucleotides) under uncultured bacterium. RNAcentral describes it as "partial 16S ribosomal RNA". It matches the Rfam family "Bacterial small subunit ribosomal RNA", at positions 524 to 776 of the family's 1533-position model. The record is from RNAcentral.
UACGGGGGGAGCAAGCGUUGUUCGGAUUUACUGGGCGUAAAGGGCGCGUAGGCGGCCACCGCAAGUCAGUUGUGAAAUCUCUGGGCUUAACCCAGAACGGUCAGCUGAUACUGCGGGGCUAGAGUGCAGAAGGGGCAACUGGAAUUCUCGGUGUAGCGGUGAAAUGCGUAGAUAUCGAGAGGAACACCCGCGGCGAAGGCGGGUUGCUGGGCUGACACUGACGCUGACAGCGCGAAAGCUAGGGGAGCGAACGGG